Molecule: unclassified non-coding RNA, 391 nt
Filed under: soil metagenome
Description: partial contains 5.8S ribosomal RNA, internal transcribed spacer 2, and large subunit ribosomal RNA
Rfam family: 5.8S ribosomal RNA (bases 1-122)
Source: RNAcentral
GAUGAAGAACGCAGUGAAAUGCGAUACUUGGUGUGAAUUGCAGAAUCCCGUGAACCAUCGAGUCUUUGAACGCAAGUUGCGCCCGAAGCCAUUAGGCCGAGGGCACGCCUGCCUGGGCGUCACACGUCGUUGCCCCCCCAUCUACUCCUUCGGGAUUGCGGGGGGCGGAUGAUGGUCUCCCGUGCGCCUCGCCGCGCGGUUGGCAUAAAUGCCAAGUCCUCGGCGACGCACGCCACGACAAUCGGUGGUUGCGAAACCUCGGUUGCCCGUCGUGUGCGGUCGUCGCGCAUCGAGGGCUCGAAAAAAUUGCCGGGUUCCGGCUCGGCUUUCAACGCGACCCCAGGUCAGGCGGGGUUACCCGCUGAAUUUAAGCAUAUCAAUAAGCGGAGGA